UACGUAGGGGGCAAGCGUUAUCCGGAUUUACUGGGUGUAAAGGGGGCGCAGACGGCGAUGCAAGCCAGGAGUGAAAGCCCGGGGCCCAACCCCGGGACUGCUCUUGGAACUGCGUGGCUGGAGUGCGGGAGGGGCAGGCGGAAUUCCUGGUGUAGCGGUGAAAUGCGUAGAUAUCAGGAGGAACACCGGUGGCGAAGGCGGCCUGCUGGACUGCAACUGACGUUGAGGCCCGAAAGCGUGGGGAGCAAACAGG
This 253-nucleotide ribosomal RNA is filed under the name uncultured bacterium. RNAcentral's name for it is "partial 16S ribosomal RNA". It matches the Rfam family "Bacterial small subunit ribosomal RNA", at positions 524 to 776 of the family's 1533-position model. The record is from RNAcentral.